UCAUAUUCCCGUUGGGGAAGGAUGAGAAGCUUCGACUAAGGUUCGAUUCGAGCAAAGCGAGAAAGCGUUGCCGCAGGCAACGACCCGAAGGGUGAGACGCAAAGCGUCGAGUCAUCCUUCCCCCGCCACCA
Molecule: small RNA, 131 nt
Filed under: Buttiauxella ferragutiae
Lineage: Bacteria; Pseudomonadati; Pseudomonadota; Gammaproteobacteria; Enterobacterales; Enterobacteriaceae
Description: RtT sRNA
Rfam family: RtT RNA
About the family: This family represents a bacterial cis-regulatory element known as RtT RNA. The exact function of RtT is unknown although it is thought that it may be involved in changing the cellular response in relation to amino acid starvation.
Source: RNAcentral